GACGAACGCUGGCGGCGUGCUUAACACAUGCAAGUCGAACGGAAAGGCCCUGCUUUUGUCGGGUGCUCGCGUGGCGAACGGGUGAGUAACACAUGAGUAACCUGCCCUUGACUUUGGGAUAACUUCAGAAAACUGGGGCUAAUACCGGCUAGGAGCUCCUGCUGCAUGGUGGGGGUUGGAAAGUUUCGGCGGUUGGGGAUGGACUCGCGGCUUAUCAGCUUGUUGGUGGGGUAGUGGCCUACCAAGGCUUUGACGGGUAGCCGGCCUGAGAGGGUGACCGGCCACAUUGGGACUGAGAUACGGCCCAGACUGCUACGGGAGGCAGCAGUGGGGAAUAUUGCACAAUGGGCGGAAGCCUGAUGCAGCAACGCCGCGUGCGGGAUGACGGCCUUCGGGUUGUAAACCGCUGUCGCCUGUGACGAAGCGUGAGUGACGGUAAUGGGUAAAGAAGCACCGGCUAACUACGUG
RNAcentral lists this ribosomal RNA (468 nucleotides) under uncultured bacterium. Its description in RNAcentral is "partial 16S ribosomal RNA". It matches the Rfam family "Bacterial small subunit ribosomal RNA", at positions 28 to 507 of the family's 1533-position model. The record is from RNAcentral.